This 63-nucleotide microRNA precursor is filed under the name Mus pahari (shrew mouse). RNAcentral's name for it is "microRNA 7036 (MGP_PahariEiJ_G0007288.1)". The record is from RNAcentral. Lineage: Eukaryota; Metazoa; Chordata; Mammalia; Rodentia; Muridae.
CUUCCAGCGGGGUUCGGUGGGGAAGACUGCAGCAUGCUGUCCGUCCUCAUCCCCUCCUCCCAG